AGAUUCCCUCAGAAAAUCCCUCCUCAAACACAUCAUUUUAGGGUUUCAUGUCAGAAAAAGCUAUAAAAAGGACCCUUAUCCCAUUUUAGAAGGGAGGAAGCAAGUAGAGGAAGAAAAGGAAUAAGGGAGGCAGCAGCUGAAGAGUCACAAUCAUCUCCCACUCCAUUUCCAACCAGAUUUGGUGAUUUCUUUCUUUUUUUAUAUUUUUCCUACAUUUCUAGUGUUU
This 226-nucleotide unclassified non-coding RNA is filed under the name Hevea brasiliensis (rubber tree). Lineage: Eukaryota; Viridiplantae; Streptophyta; Magnoliopsida; Malpighiales; Euphorbiaceae. The record is from RNAcentral.